AUUGAACGCUGGCGGCAUGCUUUACACAUGCAAGUCGAACGGCAGCGGGGAGGAGCUUGCUUCUCUGCCGGCGAGUGGCGCACGGGUGAGUAAUACAUCGGAACGUGUCGAGUAGAGGGGGAUAACCACCCGAAAGGGUUGCUAAUACCGCAUAAAUUCUGAGGAAGAAAGCUGGGGACCUAUGAAUAGGUCUCGCGCUUUUUUAUCGGCCGAUGUCGGAUUAGCUAGUUGGUGGGGUAAAGGCUCACCAAGGCGAAGAUCUGUAGCGGGUCUGAGAGGAUGAUCCGCCACACUGGGACUGAGACACGGCCCAGACUCCUACGGGAGGCAGCAGUGGGGAAUUUUGGACAAUGGGGGCAACCCUGAUCCAGCCAUGCCGCGUGGAUGAAGAAGGCCUUAGGGUUGUAAAGUACUUUUGUUAGGGAAGAAAAGCCAGCGGUGAAUAAUGGCUGAUACUGACGGUACCUAAAGAAUAAGCACCGGCUAACUACGUG
RNAcentral lists this ribosomal RNA (494 nucleotides) under uncultured bacterium. RNAcentral's name for it is "partial 16S ribosomal RNA". It matches the Rfam family "Bacterial small subunit ribosomal RNA", at positions 30 to 507 of the family's 1533-position model. The record is from RNAcentral.